Molecule: non-coding RNA, 104 nt
Organism: Pseudonaja textilis
Lineage: Eukaryota; Metazoa; Chordata; Lepidosauria; Squamata; Elapidae
Source: RefSeq, a predicted model, not a curated record
UGCUCUCUAAGCUUAGUGGUUUUCCUUCAAGAUGUUUCAUUACCCAAACGAGGUAACAUCAUCAGUGCUAGGAUGGAGUAGGGUUUGUGGGGGGGAGGAGGAGG